This 439-nucleotide ribosomal RNA is filed under the name uncultured bacterium. Its description in RNAcentral is "bacterial SSU rRNA". It matches the Rfam family "Bacterial small subunit ribosomal RNA", at positions 958 to 1398 of the family's 1533-position model. The record is from RNAcentral.
AACGCGAAGAACCUUACCCAGGCUUGAACAGCGAGUGACCAACUACGAAAGUGGUCUUCCGCAAGGACACUCGUAGAGGUGCUGCAUGGCUGUCGUCAGCUCGUGUCGUGAGAUGUUGGGUUAAGUCCCGCAACGAGCGCAACCCUUGUCUUCUGUUGCCAUCAGGUUAUGCUGGGCACUCUGGAGAGACUGCCGGUGAUAAACCGGAGGAAGGUGGGGAUGACGUCAAGUCAGCAUGGCCUUUAUGUCUGGGGCUACACACGUGCUACAAUGGCGGAUACAAAGCGUCGCGAGCCCGCGAGGGGGAGCUAAUCGCAUAAAGUCCGUCUCAGUUCGGAUAGCAGGCUGCAACUCGCCUGCUUGAAGUCGGAAUCGCUAGUAAUCGCGGAUCAGCACGCCGCGGUGAAUACGUUCCCGGGCCUUGUACACACCGACGCAC